GUAGGUGAACGAGCGAUCGCUGGCGUGCCGGCCACUUCGGUUUGGCACGCGGGAGGAAAGUCCGAGCUCCGCAGGGCAAGGUGCCGGGUAACGCCCGGUGAGGGUGACCUCGAGGAAAGUGCCACAGAAAACAAACCGCCGGCGUGCCGCGAGGCCCCACCGGUAAGGGUGAAAAGGUGGAGUAAGAGACCACCGCACGCUCGGUAACGAGCGUGGCACGGCAAACCCCACUUGGAGCAAGGCCAUGUAGGGAGGCGAAGUGCGGCUGACGUCGCACGAGAGGGCUGCCCGCCCGAGCCUCCGGGUAGGCUGCUCGAGGCACGCGGUAACGCGCGCCCUAGAGGAAUGAUCGCGAUCGAGGAAGGGGCGACCCGACCUCGAUACAGAACUCGGCUUAUGAGCACCUGCGACC
Molecule: RNase P RNA, 412 nt
Filed under: Polyangiaceae bacterium
Lineage: Bacteria; Pseudomonadati; Myxococcota; Polyangiales; Polyangiaceae
Description: Bacterial RNase P class A
Rfam family: Bacterial RNase P class A
About the family: Ribonuclease P (RNase P) is a ubiquitous endoribonuclease, found in archaea, bacteria and eukarya as well as chloroplasts and mitochondria. Its best characterised activity is the generation of mature 5'-ends of tRNAs by cleaving the 5'-leader elements of precursor-tRNAs.
Source: Rfam by way of RNAcentral